This is a small nuclear RNA of Pteronotus mesoamericanus, 164 nucleotides long. RefSeq annotates it as U1 spliceosomal RNA. The transcript has a single exon. NCBI's taxonomy places the organism in Eukaryota, Metazoa, Chordata, Mammalia, Chiroptera, Mormoopidae. The record is from RefSeq and is a predicted model, not a curated record.
AUACUUACCUGGCUGGGGCGAUGCCAUGAUCACAAAGGUAGUUUUCCCAAGGUGAGGCUUAGCCAUUGCCCUCUGGACGUGCUGGCCCCUGCGAUUUCUCCAAAUGUGGGAAACUCAACUGCACAGUUUGUGAUAGUGGGGGAUUGCGUUUGCAUUCUCUCCUG